CUAUACCCUUCUUGUACCCUACUCCCUCUUCUGAUUUAGUCAGCUGCUUUCCCACCGCUCACUGAAUUCUAGCCUACACUGACCUCCUGCCUAUUUCUCAAACAUGCCAAGCCCACUUCCACUUAGGGUCUUUGCAUUUGCUGAUCCUUCUGUGUAAAAUAUUCUAACCCUGGGUAGCCAAAUGGCUAAUUUCUCACUUCCUUAGUUCUCUGCUCAAAUGUCAGAGAGGCAUUCCCAGACAAACAUAUUUAAAAUAGCAUCCUCCCUCCCCAUGUCUCCCUACCCUGCUUUAUUUUUCUAUGACUCACCAUCUGGCAUAGUAGGUAUUUAUUGGCUUUUUUUUUUUUUUGGCCUUUCCGACUACAAUAUAAGCUCUAUGACAGCAGGCACUGUAUAUCUCGGUGAGCUGUUGUAUCCUCAUUCCUUAGAACAUUGCCUAGCCCAUUUAUGAAUAUUUGUUGAGCCACAUGAAUCAAGGCCUCCUUUUGAGAUCGUGAACGUUUUCAUUUAUUUAUUUAUUUUUUUGAGACGGAUUUUCGCUCUUUCACCCACGCUGGAGUGAAGUAACGCGAUCUCUGCUCACUGCAACCUCCUCCCCGCCUCGGGUUCAAGCGAUUCUUUUGCCUCA
Molecule: long non-coding RNA, 628 nt
Filed under: Homo sapiens (human)
Lineage: Eukaryota; Metazoa; Chordata; Mammalia; Primates; Hominidae
Description: non-protein coding lnc-NEK7-1:1
Source: RNAcentral